GCAUUAGUAGCUCAGUUCUAGAGCGCUGGUCUUGUAAACCAGAUGUCGGAGGUUAAAGUCCCCCCUUUUGCU
Molecule: transfer RNA, 72 nt
Filed under: Centropyge deborae (blue velvet angelfish)
Lineage: Eukaryota; Metazoa; Chordata; Actinopteri; Pomacanthidae
Description: tRNA-Thr
Rfam family: tRNA
About the family: Transfer RNA (tRNA) molecules are approximately 80 nucleotides in length. Their secondary structure includes four short double-helical elements and three loops (D, anti-codon, and T loops).
Source: RNAcentral